GAUGAAGAACGUAGUGAAAUGCGAUAAGUAAUGUGAAUUGCAGAAUUCAGUGAAUCAUCGAAUCUUUGAACGCACAUUGCGCCCGCCAGUAUUCUGGCGGGCAUGCCUGUUCGAGCGUCAUUUCAACCAUCAAGCCCCAGGCUUGUGUUGGGGACCUGCGGCUGCCGCAGGCCCUGAAAACCAGUGGCGGGCUCGCUGUCACACCGGGCGUAGUAGAUUUUAUCUCGCUCAGGGCGUGCUGCGGGUUCCGGCCGUUAAAAAGCCUUUUUUACCCAAGGUUGACCUCGGAUCAGGUAGGAAGACCCGCUGAACUUAAGCAUAUCAUAAGCGGAG
RNAcentral lists this unclassified non-coding RNA (333 nucleotides) under soil metagenome. RNAcentral's name for it is "partial contains 5.8S ribosomal RNA, internal transcribed spacer 2, and large subunit ribosomal RNA". The stretch from base 1 to 120 matches the Rfam family "5.8S ribosomal RNA", at positions 35 to 154 of the family's 154-position model. The record is from RNAcentral.